AAGGGUUGGAAACCAAAAAGAAAUACAGGACACAUGGGCAUGUAUGCAUCGAAGGAGAGCUCGGGGUACGGCCGCCGCCGCCGCCACGCGUGGAUGGUCUUCCUGUCUGGCCAUCGGGGUAGCCCACGCGGGCGAGCUGCAGAUUUGGAUGGGCUGCCUGGCCCACGCAGCGGAUGGCGGUGGUUCGAGCAACUCCUCGACGCAGGGGAAAAGAUUGGCGGCGCUGGAGUUCGCCGGAACGGGCAGGCGGCCGGUGGGUGACGCGAGGCCGCGGCGCCGGCGCGAGGAAGACGAGCGGAUCCGGCUGCUGCUGGCGCGGCGGCUUGCUCCGGUGGCGGCGGCGUCCUGCUCAUCCGUAGAAAGAGAGACAGGGCGUGAGGGAGAGAGGAAGAAAGGAGAGGGAGAAGGGGGCGCAGGGUCAGGGAGGCGGUCGAUAGCGGUGGCGGCUCCGGCGACCGGCCGACGGGCUUGCCAGGCAAGGCUAAGGAGUACGCCAGCCUAAGAUUCGAUAGCGGGCAUGACUUGAAUGGAUUUCUGAAUUCCAAACAGUAUGCUGUCGUGAUGUUUGAUUAGUGUCUUCUGUGAAUCUGUACCAAAACAGACUAGACAGCAGACCAAGGCCAUGGAUCGGUUGAUUCAACAGGGAAGGAAGAGACAGCAGAUUAUAAAACGAGCUUGGGGAUUAAUUGUCCUGAAACUUAAACAGGGCCGCCCUGAUGAUGGACUCAAGCUCCAGAUAAAAAAUGAAUUGAAUUAUGAGCAUCAGACAACUACGAUCAAUUUCCCGGUUAUACCUGAAAUAAAAGUGGCCGACCAAAUGAAAGGAGGGAUGCUCUCCUUGAUGUGAGAUUGUAUAGAUUAUCUUACUUGAUCUGCAAUAUUUCUUUGGAUUUCUUUUUUAUGAAAGACACAUGACACAUAGUUUGCUGGAUGGGUCUAAGAUAAAUAUUUUAGUUAUAGGAGGAUUUUUUGAACGAGUAAUAGUAUUACCACCAUUUACUUGGUCUGUUGUGCUUUCGGUAGAGCUUUCAUAUUUCAACACAAAAACAACAAUUCAAGUUGGGACCAGAAUCGCACAAACAUCAAGCUCAAAGGAAAUAUCAGUUGGGAGUGAUCAAGUAUUCAUUUUCUUAGUGAUCUAAUAGGUCUUAUAUUUGUUUAGAGAGGGAGUAUGUUUCUAGAUAGCCGUCAAUUCCAAUGUUUCGUUUAUUUACUCUCUGAAUAUGAAGAAGAUAGGUUUGCAAUGUAGCUUUUUACAUGAUAAUGUAACAAACAUUUAUGUCUUAUAACUGCAAACAUUUUUUUAGUCCAUCACCGAGCAAAUGUUUGGGAGUUGGAAAUUAUUUGGAUACACGUGAUCUCAGCAAAGAAAGAUUCACACAUACUGCAACCAAAGGAGCUCCUUUCACUCUCUAUGCAACUAGAGAAAUUAUCCUUAAUUACGAGCAGUACCCUAGAUUUAGUUGUGGUUCUAACAUAUUAGAGAUGUGGUUAGAAUACCUACUACUCUGAAAUAUUAAGUGGUUUGCACAAAUCACCGAUUCCCUCGUGCAGUGUACAAUGUGAUAUUGAUCAUCAUAGGAUCAAACUUAAUACAGGAAGUACGCACUUAAUUGUUUCUGAACUAUACUACUUUGUAUGUUCAUUCUCCUUUCCUUUUAAAUCUCAAAUUUAGUUGCAAGUAUUUUAUUUGUUAUCAUUUGGCUUCUUAAUAAGAAAUUCAGCAAGCAACUACUCGACUGAUGAGAGAGAUGUUGACAAUUUUUGCUGCAGUGAGGUGCAUUCUCGAUCAUGUUAAUAAUCUGUAUCUAAAUUAUUCAGAUGUGAAACUCAUCCUUCUUAAAACAUCUGCAACACAUAUGUGCACUCCGAAAUGGUAAAAUAUUUGCAUUCUAUAGGCCUUCAAGUUUGUGUAGCAUCCCCAUAUUUACCUGGUUAGUGUAUAUGUUGGUAUGCAUUUUGCCUGCACAAGAUUGGAAAUGGUGAUAGAUUUGCACAAGACUACUUGCCACUUCUUAUAGGAUUGGUGAAAGAAGAUGAGUAAUUGCUGAAAUUUGAUGUUCUGUGUACAGAAUCAAGACAUGCCACUGUAGAUGUUUUUUUAAAGGCAGCUAGCUACUUGGAUUGCGCAAAUCAACAAGAACUCCCUCAUAUAGCAUCAGAACUAAGGAGACAACUUCCAGUAGACCUGGCCAAUGGAAAUCUCAAUUCUCUUAGCCUGUAAGCUCAGCUCUCAAUCAGGUAUUCUAUUCGUAACUCAGCGUAUUUUUUCUGAAGUUUUAGGCCUAACUCCCAAACAUCUUUUGUCAAGAGUAAGAAUGUAGCUGUUGAUGGUUGCUUGCUGAAGAAGAGUGGUAUCAAUAUUACCAUAGAAGUAGAUGUUUUUCGAAUUAUUCUUGAUUUUCUAUUGUGUUAAUAUCUCUCUGCUCUGUUUUUAAUUGGGAAUCCUUGCUCCUUGGGUCCCUGUAAAUUGUACAAAAGGUAAUUUAUCUGAAUUUUAUGGUCUUUUAGUUUGUUC
Triticum aestivum (bread wheat) is the source of this 2518-nucleotide long non-coding RNA. RefSeq lists it as uncharacterized. The record is from RefSeq and is a predicted model, not a curated record. Lineage: Eukaryota; Viridiplantae; Streptophyta; Magnoliopsida; Poales; Poaceae. The transcript is spliced from 4 exons.